This 497-nucleotide ribosomal RNA is filed under the name uncultured bacterium. RNAcentral's name for it is "partial 16S ribosomal RNA". It matches the Rfam family "Bacterial small subunit ribosomal RNA", at positions 28 to 507 of the family's 1533-position model. The record is from RNAcentral.
GAUGAACGCUGGCGGCGUGCCUAAUACAUGCAAGUCGAGCGAACGGACGAGAAGCUUGCUUCUCUGAUGUUAGCGGCGGACGGGUGAGUAACACGUGGAUAACCUACCUAUAAGACUGGGAUAACUUCGGGAAACCGUAGCCAAUACCGGAUAAUAUUUUGAACCGCAUGGUUCAAAAGUGAAAGACGGUCUUGCUGUCACUUAUAGAUGGAUCCGCGCUGCAUUAGCUAGUUGGUAAGGUAACGGCUUACCAAGGCAACGAUGCAUAGCCGACCUGAGAGGGUGAUCGGCCACACUGGAACUGAGACACGGUCCAGACUCCUACGGGAGGCAGCAGUAGGGAAUCUUCCGCAAUGGGCGAAAGCCUGACGGAGCAACGCCGCGUGAGUGAUGAAGGUCUUCGGAUCGUAAAACUCUGUUAUUAGGGAAGAACAUAUGUGUAAGUAACUGUGCACAUCUUGACGGUACCUAAUCAGAAAGCCACGGCUAACUACGUG